UAUACUAAAGUGUUAGACUCAAUUAAUUUAGUUUAAUUUCGGUUUUUCAAAUAUUUUAUUUUAAAGCAAAUUUUUCUUAAAGAUUAUUUAUAUCCAACUCUAUAACUCGCUUAUGGUUGGUCUUACAAAAGAAAUGCAAAUAACUAUAGUAGAUAACGAAUGGGGGGACAACACAACACAACCUUGACCUUGAGUUUGACCCCGCCCAUUUUCCCUCUCUUUCUUUCAAGGCCACUCGUUCUCUCUCUUACUUUUCAAGGCCAACCCCUCCCACUUCCCCCACCACUUCAAGGCCAAGGCAUUAUUGGACCUUGAUGUUUUCAAGGUCAAGGUUAUUCAUGCUACUCCCCACUUUUGCAAGGCCAACAACUCCUCACUCAUUCAAGAUGAAUCGCGCAAUUGUCCUUACUCAUUUUCCACCCCAAACUGUAUAAAAGUUAAUGUGUUGUGUUGUGUAACACAGUUCUUGUGUAUAUCUACUAUAACAAGAAAUUCUUUAAAAAUGGAACCCAUCAGAAAAAGUUCUAUUUAUAAUACUCCUGAGGAUAUCAUAGUUUGUCCAUACGACAAAAACCACAUUCUUCUUUGGUUUCGGCUCGAAAGGCACAUAUGGAAGUGCCAUCGGGCCGAUAAAGAAAAACAAAGGGCCUUACAUGAAGUGAUGAUGAAGGAAGAGGAGGAGAACUGGGAUCAUUUCAAUGAGCCCAGCUACCUCGACUUUCUGAAAUCUAAAAAAAUUCAUAAUGUCAAAAAACAAAGAUCCUCAUGUGAAGUGAUGAUGAAGGAAGAAGAGGAGAACUGGGAUCAUUUCAAUGAGCCCAGCUACCUCGACUUCUUAAAAUCUAAAAGGAAUCAUAAUGCCUUAAAUUAAAGAAGGCCGGGGUUUUUUCGUAAAAAUAGUGUAGAAUAAGUUUAGCAAAGUAGUAGUAGUCGUAGUAAACUGUAAAUAUUAUAUUAUUGUAUAAAAAAAUAAAAGUUGUAAAAAAAAGCUACAUGUUUUUAUGUACACCUAUUUCAACCUACUGAUACAAGUAAGUGUGACCUGCAAGCAGAGAGUCGCUCACUGUUUCAAGACCACUCAUUCCCUCUUUAUCUUUGAUGUUUUCAUCUCACUUUUUCUCAUUAUCUCACUUUUUUCAAGGCCACAAUAUUGAUGCAUUUUCAUUCAAGGUUAAAAAGUGGGGGUAUAGUUAAUAUAUAGAAUUUAGUACAAGUUUGAUAGCAGUCAGUACUGAUUUAAUCCUCCGAGAAAUAAUAAUAUAAAAAAGUGCAUAUAUCUGUGUUAAUGUCUAAGAGUAUUCGCUGCUGGGUCAUGGAUGUAUUGAAUCGAAUCGCUCGAUGCGGACAGAAGCCCAUUUUAAAAGCUGGUGAGCUAGAGUUGAACACAAGAUUCCGCAUACAUAAUAUUAGACGCACAAAGUCUCUGUUCGGAAAUUCAGUGCUUGUUGAGUUGGACAAUUAUGCAGUGUUUCUGCCGAGAAGAAUAAGUGAUUAUUUGACUGAGGAGAAAAUUGAUGAGUUAUUACGAGAUCCACGUCCACUAUAUUUAAUAUAUUUGGGAAAAGAAGAUGCUAGAAUCCCGACAUCUGCACAUUGUUUUGAGUUUCAACGUGUUGAUGAUGAAAUAUUAGAAAUGUAUAUUUCAUUUACAGUUAACGAGAGUGCCGAAGAGUAGGAUGAAAUUAUCGGAAAAAGACUUAUGUGUGUGAAGUAGUGUGCGUUUUGUGCUAGUGAUAGUUUCUUAAAAUAAAUGAAUAAAAAUCAUGUGUCUAGACGAUGGACAAUAUGAAAAAUGUUUAUACGAGUGUUUUGAUAAAAGACUGUUAUCAUAUAAGAACUGGGUACAUUCAUACCCAUCUCCAUGGAGUUUAGCAAAAGCGGGAUUGUUUUAUAUUCAAAUAUCUGAUUGUACCCAGUGUUUUGUUUGUGGAGUAAUAAUUUCACGAUGGGAAAAAAGUGAUGAUGCGUUUAUGGAGCAUAAAAAACAUUCUCCAAAAUGUGGAUAUGUGAAAUUGCUUUCCACAGACAAAACUACAAUUCAAAAAUUCAAAUUAGUUACUAAAAAUAGCAUUGUUGUAGUUUUAUUUUUUAUAGUAUUUGUAUUCAUGUAUUAUUUAUGGGCGUCUUCUUAUGCAUAGGUAAUGUGAUGCAGACUUGUUAACCUUGAUCAGUGUCGGGCGCGCGCCAAAGGUGAGGUAAACUAAAGGUUUCAAGAGACGUCUUGAUUUAAUUAGUUUAUAAUUAAAUAAGUGGUAGAAUAAUAUGGAGGAUUUAUAAUAGAUUUAAGGAUAUUUAAUGUACUACCUAUAAUAUUGAUGAAAUAAAGUGUUUUAAUUGA
Tribolium castaneum (red flour beetle) is the source of this 2338-nucleotide long non-coding RNA. RefSeq lists it as uncharacterized. Lineage: Eukaryota; Metazoa; Arthropoda; Insecta; Coleoptera; Tenebrionidae. The transcript has 4 exons. The record is from RefSeq and is a predicted model, not a curated record.